CCUACGGGAGGCAGCAGUGAGGAAUAUUGGUCAAUGGGCGCGAGCCUGAACCAGCCAAGUAGCGUGAAGGAUGACUGCCCUACGGGUUGUAAACUUCUUUUAUAAAGGAAUAAAGUGAGGCACGUGUGCCUUUUUUUAUGUACUUUAUGAAUAAAGAUCGGCUAACUCCGUGGCAGCAGCCGCGGUAAUACGGAGGAUCCGAGCGUUAUCCGGAUUUUUUGGGUUUAAAGGGAGCGUAGAGGGGUUGUUAAGUCAGUUGUGAAAGUUUGCGGGUCAACCGUAGAAUUGCAAUUGAUACUGGCAGUCGUGAGUAGAGUUGAGGUAUGCGGAAUUCGUGGUGUAGCGGUGAAAUGCUUAGAUAUCACGAAGAACGCCGAUUGCGAAGGCAGCUUACUAAACUGCCACUGACAUUGAUGCUCGAAAGUGUGGGUAUCAAACAGGAGUAGAUACCCUGGUAGUC
This 460-nucleotide ribosomal RNA is filed under the name uncultured bacterium. Its description in RNAcentral is "partial 16S ribosomal RNA". It matches the Rfam family "Bacterial small subunit ribosomal RNA", at positions 338 to 795 of the family's 1533-position model. The record is from RNAcentral.